CGGUGUUUAACUGGCGUGAUGUGGGACGUCCUACCGGUGGGCUUAGCCUCGCGAGGGGCGGCCCAACUAAUAUCCCGUCGCGGUGCUCUUUACUGAGUGUCGAGUCGGGCCGGUACGUUUACUUUGAACAAAUUAGAGUGCUUAAAGCAGGCUAUCCUCGCCUGAAUACUGCGUGCAUGGGAAUAAUGGAAAUAGGACCUCGGUUCUAUUUUGUUGGUUUUCGGAACCCCGAGGUAAUGAUUAAUAGGGACAGAUGGGGGCAUUCGUAUUGCGACGUUAGAGGUGAAAUUCUUGGAUCGUCGCAAGACGGACAGAAGCGAAAGCAUUUGCCAAAAAUGUUUUCAUUAAUCAAGAACGAAAGUUAGAGGUUCGAAGGCGAUCAGAUACCGCCCUAGUUCUAACCAUAAACGAUGCCAGCUAGCGAUCCGCCGAAGUUCCUCCGAUGACUCGGCGGGCAGCUUCCGGGAAACCAAAGCUUUUGGGUUCCGGGGGAAGUAUGGUUGCAAAGCUGAAACUUAAAGGAAUUGACGGAAGGGCACCACCAGGAGUGGAGCCUGCGGCUUAAUUUGACUCAACACGGGAAACCUCACCAGGCCCAGACACCGGAAGGAUUGACAGAUUGAUAGCUCUUUCUUGAUUCGGUGGGUGGUGGUGCAUGGCCGUUCUUAGUUGGUGGAGCGAUUUGUCUGGUUAAUUCCGAUAACGAACGAGACUCUAGCCUGCUAAAUAGGCGUACCUUAUGGUAUCGCGAAGGCCCCCGGCUUCGGCCGGUGGGUUUUUACUACCAACGUACAAACAAAUCUUCUUAGAGGGCACAGGCGG
Molecule: ribosomal RNA, 822 nt
Filed under: uncultured eukaryote
Lineage: Eukaryota
Description: SSU rRNA
Rfam family: Eukaryotic small subunit ribosomal RNA
Source: RNAcentral